Molecule: ribosomal RNA, 497 nt
Filed under: uncultured bacterium
Lineage: Bacteria
Description: partial 16S ribosomal RNA
Rfam family: Bacterial small subunit ribosomal RNA
Source: RNAcentral
GGGGGGGGGGGGGGGGGGGGCGGGGGGGGGGGGGGCGGGCGGACGGGCGGGGGGCGGGCUGGUGGGAUGGGAGCGGCGGGCGGGUGAGUGGCACGUGGGUACCCUCCCUAUAGGACGGGGAUGACGGCGGGGAACCGGAGCUACUACCGGAUAAUAUUUUGAACCGCAUGGUGCAACAGGGAAAGACGGUCUUGCUGUCACUUAUCGAUGGAUCCGCGCUGCAUUAGCUAGUUGGUAAGGUAACGUCUUCGCAGGGCAACGAUGCAUAGCCGACCUGAGAGGGUGAUCGGCCACACUGGAACUGAGACACGGUCCAGACUCCUACGGGAGGCAGCAGUAGGGAAUCUUCCGCAAUGGGCGAAAGCCUGACGGAGCAACGCCGCGUGAGUGAUGAAGGUCUUCGGAUCGUAAAACUCUGUUAUUAGGGAAGAACAUAUGUGUAAGUAACUGUGCACAUCUUGACGGUACCUAAUCAGAAAGCCACGGCUAACUACGUG